Molecule: microRNA precursor, 209 nt
Filed under: Oryza sativa Indica Group (long-grained rice)
Lineage: Eukaryota; Viridiplantae; Streptophyta; Magnoliopsida; Poales; Poaceae
Description: MIR812 microRNA precursor family
Rfam family: MIR812 microRNA precursor family
Source: Rfam by way of RNAcentral
UUUAAGUCCAACUAUAAGUUUCUAUGCCCAAUUUAGAUGGUUCAUUUUAUUUAAAUUUUAUUAUUAUUAUUAUUAUUAUUAUUAUUAUUAUUAUUAUUAUUAUUAGAUGAUAAAACAUGAAUACUAAUUUAUGUGUGACUAAUAUUUUUAUUUUUUUAAAUAAGACAGACGAUCAAAGUUGGCCACGAAAAAUCAUGGCAUCACCCUGG